GGUGACGAGUGGCGGACGGGUGAGUAAUGUCUGGGAAACUGCCCGAUGGAGGGGGAUAACUACUGGAAACGGUAGCUAAUACCGCAUAACGUCGCAAGACCAAAGUGGGGGACCUUCGGGCCUCACACCAUCGGAUGUGCCCAGAUGGGAUUAGCUAGUAGGUGGGGUAAUGGCUCACCUAGGCGACGAUCCCUAGCUGGUCUGAGAGGAUGACCAGCCACACUGGAACUGAGACACGGUCCAGACUCCUACGGGAGGCAGCAGUGGGGAAUAUUGCACAAUGGGCGCAAGCCUGAUGCAGCCAUGCCGCGUGUAUGAAGAAGGCCUUCGGGUUGUAAAGUACUUUCAGCGAGGAGGAAGGCAUUAAGGUUAAUAACCUUGGUGAUUGACGUUACUCGCAGAAGAAGCACCGGCUAACUCCGUGCCAGCAGCCGCGGUAAUACGGAGGGUGCAAGCGUUAAUCGGAAUUACUGGGCGUAAAGCGCACGCAGGCGGUCUGUCAAGUCGGAUGUGAAAUCCCCGGGCUCAACCUGGGAACUGCAUUCGAAACUGGCAGGCUAGAGUCUUGUAGAGGGGGGUAGAAUUCCAGGUGUAGCGGUGAAAUGCGUAGAGAUCUGGAGGAAUACCGGUGGCGAAGGCGGCCCCCUGGACAAAGACUGACGCUCAGGUGCGAAAGCGUGGGGAGCAAACAGGAUUAGAUACCCUGGUAGUCCACGCCGUAAACGAUGUCGACUUGGAGGUUGUGCCCUUGAGGCGUGGCUUCCGGAGCUAACGCGUUAAGUCGACCGCCUGGGGAGUACGGCCGCAAGGUUAAAACUCAAAUGAAUUGACGGGGGCCCGCACAAGCGGUGGAGCAUGUGGUUUAAUUCGAUGCAACGCGAAGAACCUUACCUACUCUUGACAUCCAGAGAACUUAGCAGAGAUGCUUUGGUGCCUUCGGGAACUCUGAGACAGGUGCUGCAUGGCUGUCGUCAGCUCGUGUUGUGAAAUGUUGGGUUAAGUCCCGCAACGAGCGCAACCCUUAUCCUUUGUUGCCAGCGGUUCGGCCG
Molecule: ribosomal RNA, 1049 nt
Filed under: Kluyvera sp. LS9
Lineage: Bacteria; Pseudomonadati; Pseudomonadota; Gammaproteobacteria; Enterobacterales; Enterobacteriaceae
Description: bacterial SSU rRNA
Rfam family: Bacterial small subunit ribosomal RNA
Source: RNAcentral